GGUUUUGCAAGUCUGAUGUGAAAAUGCGGGGCUCAACUCCGUAUUGCGUUGGAAACUGCCAAACUAGAGUACUGGAGAGGUGGGCGGAACUACAAGUGUAGAGGUGAAAUUCGUAGAUAGUUGUAGGAAUGCCGAUGGAGAAGUCAGCCCACUGGACAGAUACUGACGCUGAAGCGCGAGAGCGUGGGUAGCA
RNAcentral lists this ribosomal RNA (193 nucleotides) under uncultured bacterium. Its description in RNAcentral is "partial 16S ribosomal RNA". It matches the Rfam family "Bacterial small subunit ribosomal RNA", at positions 577 to 770 of the family's 1533-position model. The record is from RNAcentral.